AGUGAACGCUGGCGGUAGGCCUAACACAUGCAAGUCGAACGGCAGCACAGUAAGAGCUUGCUCUUACGGGUGGCGAGUGGCGGACGGGUGAGGAAUACAUCGGAAUCUACUUUUUCGUGGGGGAUAACGUAGGGAAACUUACGCUAAUACCGCAUACGACCUACGGGUGAAAGCAGGAGAUCUUCGGACCUUUCCCGAUUGAAAGAGCCGAUGUCGGAUUAGCUAGUUGGCGGGGUAAAGGCACACCAAGGCGACGAUCCGUAGCUGGUCUGAGAGGAUGAUCAGCCACACUGGAACUGAGACACGGUCCAGACUCCUACGGGAGGCAGCAGUGGGGAAUAUUGGACAAUGGGCGCAAGCCUGACGCAGCCAUGCCGCGUGAGUGAUGAAGGUCUUCGGGUUGUAAAGCCCUUUUAUUAGGAAAGAAAAGCAGCAGAUUAAAACCUGGCUGUCUUGACGGUACCUAAUGAGUAAGCACCGGCUAACUUCGUG
This 492-nucleotide ribosomal RNA is filed under the name uncultured bacterium. Its description in RNAcentral is "partial 16S ribosomal RNA". It matches the Rfam family "Bacterial small subunit ribosomal RNA", at positions 29 to 507 of the family's 1533-position model. The record is from RNAcentral.